GCUUAGCCGUAAACUUUGAUGCUAACAUACAACUAGCAUCCGCCAGGGGACUACAAGCGCCAGCUUAAAACCCAAAGGACUUGGCGGUGCCUCAAACCCACCUAGAGGAGCCUGUUCUUGAAUUGAUACUCCCCGUUCAACCUCACCACCCCUUGUCCGACCCGCCUAUAUACCGCCGUCGUCAGCUUACCCUGUGAAGGUCUCAUAGUAAGCAAAAUGGGCACAGCCCAGAACGUCAGGUCAAGGUGCAGCGAAUGGGGUGGGAAGAAAUGGGCUACAUUCCCUAAUAUAGGGUACUACGGAUAGCGCUGUGAAAACAGCCCUUGAAGGUGGAUUUAGCAGUAAGAAGAAAAUAGAGUGUUCUUCUGAACUCGGCUCUGAGGCGCGC
This 388-nucleotide ribosomal RNA is filed under the name Retropinna semoni (Australian smelt). RNAcentral describes it as "partial 12S ribosomal RNA". It matches the Rfam family "Bacterial small subunit ribosomal RNA", at positions 794 to 1384 of the family's 1533-position model. The record is from RNAcentral. Lineage: Eukaryota; Metazoa; Chordata; Actinopteri; Osmeriformes; Retropinnidae.